GGGUGAUGGCGUGCCUUUUGUAGAAUGAACCGGCGAGUUACGAUUUGAUGCAAGGUUAAGCAGUAAAUGUGGAGCCGUAGCGAAAGCGAGUCUGAAUAGGGCGUUUAGUAUUUGGUCGUAGACCCGAAACCAGGUGAUCUACCCUUGGUCAGGUUGAAGUUCAGGUAACACUGAAUGGAGGACCGAACCGACUUACGUUGAAAAGUGAGCGGAUGAACUGAGGGUAGCGGAGAAAUUCCAAUCGAACCUGGAGAUAGCUGGUUCUCUCCGAAAUAGCUUUAGGGCUAGCCUCAAGUGAUGAUUAUUGGAGGUAGAGCACUGUUUGGACGAGGGGCCCCUCUCGGGUUACCGAAUUCAGACAAACUCCGAAUGCCAAUUAAUUUAACUUGGGAGUCAGAACAUGGGUGAUAAGGUCCGUGUUCGAAAGGGAAACAGCCCAGACCACCAGCUAAGGUCCCAAAAUAUAUGUUAAGUGGAAAAGGAUGUGGCGUUGCCCAGACAACUAGGAUGUUGGCUUAGAAGCAGCCAUCAUUUAAAGAGUGCGUAAUAGCUCACUAGUCGAGUGACACUGCGCCGAAAAUGUACCGGGGCUAAACAUAUUACCGAAGCUGUGGAUUGUCCUUUGGACAAUGGUAGGAGAGCGUUCUAAGGGCGUUGAAGCAUGAUCGUAAGGACAUGUGGAGCGCUUAGAAGUGAGAAUGCCGGUGUGAGUAGCGAAAGACGGGUGAGAAUCCCGUCCACCGAUUGACUAAGGUUUCCAGAGGAAGGCUCGUCCGCUCUGGGUUAGUCGGGUCCUAAGCUGAGGCCGACAGGCGUAGGCGAUGGAUAACAGGUUGAUAUUCCUGUACCACCUAUAAUCGUUUUAAUCGAUGGGGGGACGCAGUAGGAUAGGCGAAGCGUGCGAUUGGAUUGCACGUCUAAGCAGUAAGGCUGAGUAUUAGGCAAAUCCGGUACUCGUUAAGGCUGAGCUGUGAUGGGGAGAAGACAUUGUGUCUUCGAGUCGUUGAUUUCACACUGCCGAGAAAAGCCUCUAGAUAGAAAAUAGGUGCCCGUACCGCAAACCGACACAGGUAGUCAAGAUGAGAAUUCUAAGGUGAGCGAGCGAACUCUCGUUAAGGAACUCGGCAAAAUGACCCCGUAACUUCGGGAGAAGGGGUGCUCUUUAGGGUUAACGCCCAGAAGAGCCGCAGUGAAUAGGCCCAAGCGACUGUUUAUCAAAAACACAGGUCUCUGCUAAACCGUAAGGUGAUGUAUAGGGGCUGACGCCUGCCCGGUGCUGGAAGGUUAAGAGGAGUGGUUAGCUUCUGCGAAGCUACGAAUCGAAGCCCCAGUAAACGGCGGCCGUAACUAUAACGGUCCUAAGGUAGCGAAAUUCCUUGUCGGGUAAGUUCCGACCCGCACGAAAGGCGUAACGAUUUGGGCACUGUCUCAACGAGAGACUCGGUGAAAUCAUAGUACCUGUGAAGAUGCAGGUUACCCGCGACAGGACGGAAAGACCCCGUGGAGCUUUACUGUAGCCUGAUAUUGAAAUUCGGCACAGCUUGUACAGGAUAGGUAGGAGCCUUUGAAACGUGAGCGCUAGCUUACGUGGAGGCGCUGGUGGGAUACUACCCUAGCUGUGUUGGCUUUCUAACCCGCACCACUUAUCGUGGUGGGAGACAGUGUCAGGCGGGCAGUUUGACUGGGGCGGUCGCCUCCUAAAAGGUAACGGAGGCGCUCAAAGGUUCCCUCAGAAUGGUUGGAAAUCAUUCAUAGAGUGUAAAGGCAUAAGGGAGCUUGACUGCGAGACCUACAAGUCGAGCAGGGUCGAAAGACGGACUUAGUGAUCCGGUGGUUCCGCAUGGAAGGGCCAUCGCUCAACGGAUAAAAGCUACCCCGGGGAUAACAGGCUUAUCUCCCCCAAGAGUUCACAUCGACGGGGAGGUUUGGCACCUCGAUGUCGGCUCAUCGCAUCCUGGGGCUGUAGUCGGUCCCAAGGGUUGGGCUGUUCGCCCAUUAAAGCGGUACGCGAGCUGGGUUCAGAACGUCGUGAGACAGUUCGGUCCCUAUCCGUCGUGGGCGUAGGAAAUUUGAGAGGAGCUGUCCUUAGUACGAGAGGACCGGGAUGGACAUACCUCUGGUGUACCAGUUGUCGUGCCAACGGCAUAGCUGGGUAGCUAUGUGUGGACGGGAUAAGUGCUGAAAGCAUCUAAGCAUGAAGCCCCCCUCAAGAUGAGAUUUCCCAACUUCGGUUAUAAGAUCCCUCAAAGAUGAUGAGGUUAAUAGGUUCGAGGUGGAAGCAUGGUGACAUGUGGAGCUGACGAAUACUAA
This 2310-nucleotide ribosomal RNA is filed under the name Staphylococcus aureus. RNAcentral describes it as "partial 23S ribosomal RNA". It matches the Rfam family "Bacterial large subunit ribosomal RNA", at positions 591 to 2904 of the family's 2925-position model. Lineage: Bacteria; Bacillati; Bacillota; Bacilli; Caryophanales; Staphylococcaceae. The record is from RNAcentral.